UUUUUUAAUAUUUUUAGUAGAGACAGGUUUUUGCCAUGUUGGCCAGGCUGGUCUCUAACUCCUGACCUCAGGUGAUCUGCCUACCUCAGCCUCCCAAAGUGCUGGGAUUACAGGCAUAAGCCACGGCCGGCCAGCUCUAGUCUUAAUUUGCUGAAAAAGGGAGGCAAUGAACGAAAGGCCUGCUGGCCUGGGACACAGGAGACCUAGGUUUACCACACAGCCUUGGAAAAUUUCUCUAACUCUCUGGGCCCCUUUGUAACACUCUUCAGUUUAGAGAUUUGGGAGUUAAAAUAGAUCAGGGAUUUCCAAACUCUUCACAGAGUACCAGGCUCUGUGGAGAUGCCUCAUAGGCCUCCAUGACAGGCCAAGAAGAUGGGCUAUGAUCUCUGAAAGCAGCCUCUACUUCAAUCAGAUCAAAGUCAUUCCAUUCUAUGUUUUAUAUGUUGGGAUUCUGCUUAAGAUUUUAUUUGAUAAAAAGAAUCUUCUGUUUAAAAAACAUGUUUACUGACUCCAUUUUAGAUAUUCCCAGAAGAGCCUGGUCUGCUUUCACUCCCCACCCCCAUACCACCGGUGUCUCCCUUCACCCCCCAGGGGCUGUUGGUAAUUCCACCGAGUCUAAGGCAGGGCCCCAAGAGUCAAAGCUGCCUCACAUUCAGGUCUGUUCAGGUUUGACAGUGUUCCCAUCAUCACUGGACAAAAGACAAGAACAAGUCUCAUCCACUCUGAGGUUAGCCCAAGCCAGGUCUCAGCUAAGAGCUGAUACCCUAAACCCUUAUCUCCUGGAUUCAUCUUCAGUGCCCCUGGAAGAUGCUUCCUUCCCCCCAUCUCACUCUCAUAGACCUGAGUAUUCAAAAGUAGAAUGGGUAGGAUAGAGGGGCCAGAAACAGCACUUGGAUGAAUAUACUUCCUUUAUCGAGGGUGACAAACCAAAACAAAAAAAGACCAAACAUGUAAAAACCCAGGGUUCUAGAAA
Long non-coding RNA from Sapajus apella (tufted capuchin), 973 nucleotides. RefSeq lists it as uncharacterized. NCBI's taxonomy places the organism in Eukaryota, Metazoa, Chordata, Mammalia, Primates, Cebidae. The record is from RefSeq and is a predicted model, not a curated record. The transcript has 2 exons.